Molecule: ribosomal RNA, 253 nt
Filed under: uncultured Acidobacteriota bacterium
Lineage: Bacteria; Pseudomonadati; Acidobacteriota
Description: uncultured Acidobacteria bacterium partial 16S ribosomal RNA
Rfam family: Bacterial small subunit ribosomal RNA
Source: RNAcentral
UACGGGGGGGGCAAGCGUUGUUCGGAAUUACUGGGCGUAAAGGGCUCGUAGGCGGCCGGCUAAGUCAGACGUGAAAUCCCCCGGCUCAACCGGGGAACUGCGUCUGAGACUGGCUGGCUUGAAUCCGGGAGAGGGAUGUGGAAUUCCAGGUGUAGCGGUGAAAUGCGUAGAUAUCUGGAGGAACACCGGUGGCGAAGGCGGCAUCCUGGACCGGUAUUGACGCUGAGGAGCGAAAGCCAGGGGAGCAAACGGG